This 878-nucleotide long non-coding RNA is filed under the name Malus domestica (apple). RNAcentral's name for it is "long non-coding RNA (MDOM_LNC006495)". The record is from RNAcentral. Lineage: Eukaryota; Viridiplantae; Streptophyta; Magnoliopsida; Rosales; Rosaceae.
GUAUAAAGAGAGUUUAUAACUCAAGUGGUUAAAAUAUUUGUUUAUUUAAGAAAGGUGUUUUGUUUGAUCACUCUGAAUAUAGUUAUAAUAUAUUAAAAAUUGAGCAUCCGAUUUAUAAUUAAUUGACAAAAAGAAAAGAGAACGUCAACACUAGAUCCUAAAAGCAUAUCCAAUGGUGUAAAUAAACACAAUCGGUAAAAUUGUAUUAUAAUAACUGACAUAAUCGACAAAAAUAAGAGCAUCUCCAAUGCGACAAGUCCUAACGCAAGUGGCAGUGAUUAGAGAACAACGUAUACGAAAUGAAUUUAUAUACUGUUUCGUUCUAAUAGUGUCAUAAUAUUAUUGAAUCAAAACACUACGACAAGUUUUCACAAAUAGCAUCAAAUUUUUAGUGCUAAAAAAGUUCCUAAGUUGUUUUGAGUCGCAUCACAUGGAAAUGCACCGUUGCACAUGGUUGGUGGUGGCGCAGCCCUCUUUUAAAUUGCGCAUCUUCUUGUUCUUAUGUGUAUUAUAUUGAUUUACUUUUAGCGUUUAGUAAAUUACAAGAUAAAAAAUUAUGACAACUGCAUGAAAGUUUCGUUUUGUUUUUUCCCCAUUUUAAGAGCCCAUCUUGAUCAGGAGUAAGCAGACUUAUGGUUUAGUUUAAGAACACGAAAAUCUAUUUGAUCACAUAUAAAGCUAAGUUUUUUACUCCCUUAAUUUUCCAAGGUAUUGGAAUCUCAAUGUGCAAGAAAAUUACAUCCAGAAAGAAAUUUGGUUUGUCACGAGACACGUUUCCAAAUUUAGCACUAUUUGUAUUAAUAUCAGCAGUCAGUACUGUCUGAUAGGACAUCCAAUCAUUCUUCUUAAAGGAGGCAGAUUCUUUGUCCUCUUACUUU